GCAGGCAACGGAUUGUCUAAUGCCGAACUCCUGGCUUAGUUCAUCUCAAAGUCUGCGGAGAAUAGAUGCGUCAAUUUCGUGAACUGAGCAUGUUUAGAUCCCAGAAAUGUUCGGUCUUUAAAGUUGUCCACAGUC
This 135-nucleotide small nucleolar RNA is filed under the name Drosophila ananassae. RNAcentral describes it as "snoRNA:GF26038". Lineage: Eukaryota; Metazoa; Arthropoda; Insecta; Diptera; Drosophilidae. The record is from RNAcentral.